AGCGAACGCUGGCGGCAGGCUUAACACAUGCAAGUCGAACGGUCCUUCGGGAUAGUGGCGGACGGGUGAGUAACACGUGGGAACGUACCCUUAGGUUCGGAACAACACAGGGAAACUUGUGCUAAUACCGGAUAAGCCCUUCGGGGGAAAGAUUUAUCGCCUUUGGAGCGGCCCGCGUCUGAUUAGCUUGUUGGUGAGGUAAUGGCACACCAAGGCUACGAUCAGUAGCUGGACUGAGAGGAUGGCCAGCCACACUGGGACUGAGACACGGCCCAGACUCCUACGGGAGGCAGCAGUGGGGAAUCUUGCGCAAUGGGCGAAAGCCUGACGCAGCCAUGCCGCGUGGAUGAUGAAGGUCUUAGGAUUGUAAAAUCCUUUCACCGGGGACGAUAAUGACGGUACCCGGAGAAGAAGCCCCGGCUAACUACGUGCCAGCAGCCGCCGUAA
Molecule: ribosomal RNA, 447 nt
Filed under: uncultured bacterium
Lineage: Bacteria
Description: partial 16S ribosomal RNA
Rfam family: Bacterial small subunit ribosomal RNA
Source: RNAcentral